GACGAACGCUGGCGGCGUGCUUAACACAUGCAAGUCGAACGGAAAGGCCCUGCUUUUGUGGGGUGCUCGAGUGGCGAACGGGGGAGUAUCACGUGAGUAACCUGCCCUUGACUUUGGGAUAACUUCAGGAAACAGGGGCUCAUACCGGACAUGAGCUCCUGAUGCAUGGUGGGGGUGGGUAAGAUUCGGCGGUUGGGGAUGGACUCGCGGCUUAUCAGCUUGUUGGUGGGGUAGUGGCUUACCAAGGCUUUGACGGGUAGCCGGACUGGGAGGGUGACAGGCCACAUUGGGACUGAGAUAGCGCCCAGACUCCUACGGGAGGCAGAAGUGGGGGAUAGUGCAAGAAGGGCGGAGGCCUUAUGCAGGAACGUCGGGUGGGAGAUGACGGCCUUCGGGGAGUAAACCGCGUGCGCGUGGGACGAAGCGUGAGUGACGGUAAUGGGUAAAGAAGCACCGGCUAACUACGUG
This 468-nucleotide ribosomal RNA is filed under the name uncultured bacterium. Its description in RNAcentral is "partial 16S ribosomal RNA". It matches the Rfam family "Bacterial small subunit ribosomal RNA", at positions 28 to 507 of the family's 1533-position model. The record is from RNAcentral.